CACCAAAUAGCUAGCCCCCCAAACAACUUCAACACACCACUAUUAAUACCCCUAAAUACACAAGUUAAGAUUUAACAAAUCAUUUUUCCCCCUGAGUAUGGGCGACAGAAAAGGGCCGAAGGCGCGAUAGAGAUAGUACCGCAAGGGACCACUGAAAGAGAAGUGAAAUAACCCAGUAAAGUACUAAAAAGCAGAGCUAAACUCUCGUACCUUUUGCAUCAUGAUUUAGCCAGUGAUUUUCAAGCAAAAGGCCUUUUAGUUUGUAAACCCGAAACUAGGGGAGCUACUCCAAGACAGCCUAAUAAUAGGGCAAACCCGUCUCUGUUGCAAAAGAGUGGGGCGAGCUUUGAGUAGAGGUGACAGACCUACCGAACCUAGUUAUAGCUGGUUGCCCAAGAAAUGAAUAGUAGUUCAGCUUUACGGCUUCUCCCUUCUCAUCAGUACAUGCAACCCCUGAUAUUUUAAGAAACCUUAAAAGUUAUUCAAAAGGGGUACAGCCCUUUUGAAACAAGACACAACUUUCCCAGGAGGGUAAAGAUCAUAAUUACACAAGGUAGUUGACCCUAGUGGGCUCGAAAGCAGCCACCCCUUAAGAAAGCGUCUAAGCUCGUAAGAAUGUUACCCCUCUCCCAAUUCUGAUCAUUUUAUCUUACCCCCCUAAAUUUAUUGGGCCGCCCCAUGCCAACAUGGGGGUGACCAUGCUAAUAUGAGUAAUAAGAAAGCUAUGGCUUUCUCCCCGCACGCAUGUAAAUCGGAAUGGACCCCCCACCGAAAAUUAACGGCCCCAAUUACAGAGGGCAAUGGACGAUAAACCAAACAACAAGCAGAUCCUCCAACCACCAACCGUUAACCCAACACAGGUGUGCCCCUAGGGAAAAACUAAAAGGGGGAGAAGGAACUCGGCAAACACAUAAAGCCUCGCCUGUUUACCAAAAACAUCGCCUCUUGCAAAUAAUGAAUAAGAGGUCCCGCCUGCCCUGUGACUAUUAGUUUAACGGCCGCGGUAUUUUGACCGCGCGAAGGUAGCGCAAUCACUUGUCUCUUAAAUGGGGACCUGUAUGAAUGGCA
RNAcentral lists this ribosomal RNA (1068 nucleotides) under Pagothenia borchgrevinki (bald rockcod). Its description in RNAcentral is "16S ribosomal RNA". It matches the Rfam family "Bacterial large subunit ribosomal RNA", at positions 161 to 2001 of the family's 2925-position model. Lineage: Eukaryota; Metazoa; Chordata; Actinopteri; Perciformes; Nototheniidae. The record is from RNAcentral.